UUAAUAAUCCCUCUGUCCGGAAAUACUCGUCGAGGAAAUGGAUGUAUCUAGACGUAUUUAUUUAUAGAUACAUUCAUUUUUAUCCAUUUCUCUAACAAGUAUUUUCGGACGGGGGGAGUACAAG
This is a non-coding RNA of Triticum aestivum (bread wheat), 124 nucleotides long. Lineage: Eukaryota; Viridiplantae; Streptophyta; Magnoliopsida; Poales; Poaceae. The record is from Rfam.